UACGAAGGGGGCUAGCGUUGUUCGGAAUAACUGGGCGUAAAGCGCAUGUAGGCGGAUUUUUAAGUCAGAGGUGAAAUCCCAGGGCUCAACCCCGGCAUCGCCUUUGAUACUGGAGAUCUGGAGUCUGGGAGAGGUGAGUGGAAUUCCGAGUGUAGAGGUGAAAUUCGUAGAUAUUCGGAGGAACACCAGUGGCGAAGGCGGCUCACUGGCCCGAGACUGACCAUGAGAUGCGAAAGCGUGGGGAGCAAACAGG
Molecule: ribosomal RNA, 253 nt
Filed under: uncultured bacterium
Lineage: Bacteria
Description: partial 16S ribosomal RNA
Rfam family: Bacterial small subunit ribosomal RNA
Source: RNAcentral